UCCCAGGUGGCUCAGAUGGUAAAGUGUCUGCUUGCAAUGCAGGAGACCCAGGUUCGAUCCCUGGGCUGGGAA
Molecule: transfer RNA, 72 nt
Filed under: Ovis aries (sheep)
Lineage: Eukaryota; Metazoa; Chordata; Mammalia; Artiodactyla; Bovidae
Rfam family: tRNA
About the family: Transfer RNA (tRNA) molecules are approximately 80 nucleotides in length.
Source: Rfam by way of RNAcentral